UGGGGAAUUUUGGACAAUGGGCGAAAGCCUGAUCCAGCAAUGCCGCGUGUGUGAAGAAGGCCUUCGGGUUGUAAAGCACUUUUGUCCGGAAAGAAAUCCUUGGCUCUAAUACAGUCGGGGGAUGACGGUACCGGAAGAAUAAGCACCGGCUAACUACGUGCCAGCAGCCGCGGUAAUACGUAGGGUGCAAGCGUUAAUCGGAAUUACUGGGCGUAAAGCGUGCGCAGGCGGUUUGCUAAGACCGAUGUGAAAUCCCCGGGCUCAACCUGGGAACUGCAUUGGUGACUGGCAGGCUAGAGUAUGGCAGAGGGGGGUAGAAUUCCACGUGUAGCAGUGAAAUGCGUAGAGAUGUGGAGGAAUACCGAUGGCGAAGGCAGCCCCCUGGGCCAAUACUGACGCUCAUGCACGAAAGCGUGGGGAGCAAAACAGGAUUAGAUACCCUGGUAGUCCACGCCCUAAAACGAUGUCAACUAGUUGUUGGGGAUUCAUUUCCUUAGUAACGUAGCUAACGCGUGAAGUUGACCGCCUGGGGAGUAC
RNAcentral lists this ribosomal RNA (537 nucleotides) under uncultured bacterium. Its description in RNAcentral is "partial 16S ribosomal RNA". It matches the Rfam family "Bacterial small subunit ribosomal RNA", at positions 355 to 883 of the family's 1533-position model. The record is from RNAcentral.